AGGGAAUCUUCCACAAUGGACGCAAGUCUGAUGGAGCAACGCCGCGUGAGUGAAGAAGGUCUUCGGAUCGUAAAGCUCUGUUGUUGGUGAAGAAGGAUAGAGGCAGUAACUGGUCUUUAUUUGACGGUAAUCAACCAGAAAGUCACGGGCUAACUACGUGCCAGCAGCCGCGGUAAUACGUAGGUGGCAAGCGUUGUCCGGAUUUAUUGGGCGUAAAGCGAGCGCAGGCGGAAUGAUAAGUCUGAUGUGAAAGCCCACGGCUCAACCGUGGAACUGCAUCGGAAACUGUCAUUCUUGAGUGCAGAAGAGGAGAGUGGAACUCCAUGUGUAGCGGUGGAAUGCGUAGAUAUAUGGAAGAACACCAGUGGCGAAGGCGGCUCUCUGGUCUGCAACUGACGCUGAGGCUCGAAAGCAUGGGUAGCGAACAGGAUUAGAUACCCUGGUAGUCCAUGCCGUAAACGAUGAGCGCUAGGUGUUGGGG
Molecule: ribosomal RNA, 481 nt
Filed under: uncultured bacterium
Lineage: Bacteria
Description: partial 16S ribosomal RNA
Rfam family: Bacterial small subunit ribosomal RNA
Source: RNAcentral